GGAGGAAGCACUAUACAUGGGUGAAAGAAGCAUCAGUAGCAGUGCAGAAGAGGACUGAUGAAGACUCCAAAGACAGUGGUCCUACGGCCCUGCAGAUGACUGAUGCUGUCCAGCUUAAAAGACGGAUGCUCAGAAGAUCAGACUUUUCAUGACAACGAGUCACAUCUGCCCCUGGCAAGACCAAUUACUUCAAGAGGAUGAUGGGCACAGAAGAGGCUCCUCAUGGAGUUGGUUAUCCAUU
Myodes glareolus (Bank vole) is the source of this 241-nucleotide non-coding RNA. NCBI's taxonomy places the organism in Eukaryota, Metazoa, Chordata, Mammalia, Rodentia, Cricetidae. The record is from RefSeq and is a predicted model, not a curated record.